UCCUACGGGAGGCAGCAGUGGGGAAUAUUGCACAAUGGGCGCAAGCCUGAUGCAGCCAUGCGGGGUGUGUGAAGAAGGCCUUCGGGUUGUAAAGCAAUUUCAGUAAGGAGGAAAGGUUAAGUGUUAAUAGCAGUUAGAAGUGACGUUACUUACAUAAGAAGCUCCGGCUAACUCCGUGCCAGCAGCCGCGGUAA
This 194-nucleotide ribosomal RNA is filed under the name uncultured Gammaproteobacteria bacterium. RNAcentral's name for it is "partial 16S ribosomal RNA". It matches the Rfam family "Bacterial small subunit ribosomal RNA", at positions 337 to 523 of the family's 1533-position model. Lineage: Bacteria; Pseudomonadati; Pseudomonadota; Gammaproteobacteria. The record is from RNAcentral.